AUGGUAUUAAAUGUUUUCUGUAUGAGUAAUUCCUUUUUGCUUGUGGUGUCAUUUUUUGUGCUAAUUUAUUUUGGAUUUUCUUUGUUUCAUGGCUAUUUUCUUAUGAUCACAAGUGACUUCUGGCAAAAGAUUGGGAACAAAGCUAUGCAAGAAUUAUUAUUUUUGGUCCUGUGGAAGGGACCAAACUGGGACCAAGAAGGUUUUGUUGCAUUGUUAUCCUUUUCUAACUCGGCCACACUAGGUUCAGUUCACUUGUCAUCAAAGCCACCGUCAACCAGUGGAACUUCAAGAAACUUCCUCUCUAAUUGUUAG
Molecule: ribosomal RNA, 312 nt
Filed under: Triticum aestivum (bread wheat)
Lineage: Eukaryota; Viridiplantae; Streptophyta; Magnoliopsida; Poales; Poaceae
Description: partial small subunit ribosomal RNA
Source: RNAcentral